This 76-nucleotide transfer RNA is filed under the name Erysipelotrichaceae bacterium. RNAcentral's name for it is "tRNA-Gln". It matches the Rfam family "tRNA". Rfam says of the family: Transfer RNA (tRNA) molecules are approximately 80 nucleotides in length. The record is from RNAcentral. Lineage: Bacteria; Bacillati; Bacillota; Erysipelotrichia; Erysipelotrichales; Erysipelotrichaceae.
UGCGGAUUAGCCAAGCGGUAAGGCAGCGGACUCUGAAUCCGCCAUUUCGAAGGUUCGAAUCCUUCAUCCGCAGCCA